GACGAACGCUGGCGGCGUGCUUAACACAUGCAAGUCGAACGGAAAGACCCUGCUUUUGUGGGUUUCUCGAUUGCCGAACGCGUGAGUGACACGUGUGUAUCCUCCCCUUGACUUUGGGAUAACUUCUGGAAACUGGGGCUCUUACCGGAUAUGAUCUCCUGCUGCAUGUUGGUGGUUGGAAAGUUUCGGCGGUUGGGUAUGUACUCGCGGCAUAUCGGCUUGUUGGUGGGGUAGUGGAUUACCAAGGCUUUGACGGGUAGCCGGCCUGAGAGGGUGAACGGCGACAUGGGGACUGAGGGAAGGCGCAGACUGCUAAGGGAGGCAGCAGGGGGGAAUAUUGCAGAAUGGGGCGAAGUCUGAGGCAGAAAUGCCGGGAGCGGGAUGACGGCUUUUGGGGUGUAAACAGAUGUGGAAGGUGAUGAAGAGAGAGUGACGGUAAUGGGUAAAGAAGCACCGGCUAACUACGUG
RNAcentral lists this ribosomal RNA (468 nucleotides) under uncultured bacterium. RNAcentral's name for it is "partial 16S ribosomal RNA". It matches the Rfam family "Bacterial small subunit ribosomal RNA", at positions 28 to 507 of the family's 1533-position model. The record is from RNAcentral.